This 73-nucleotide transfer RNA is filed under the name Candidatus Daviesbacteria bacterium. Its description in RNAcentral is "tRNA-Thr". It matches the Rfam family "tRNA". Rfam says of the family: Transfer RNA (tRNA) molecules are approximately 80 nucleotides in length. Their secondary structure includes four short double-helical elements and three loops (D, anti-codon, and T loops). The record is from RNAcentral. Lineage: Bacteria; Candidatus Daviesiibacteriota.
GCCGACUUAGCUCAGUUGGUAGAGCGACUGUUUCGUAAACAGUAGGUCAUUGGUUCAAUUCCAAUAGUCGGCU